Molecule: microRNA precursor, 195 nt
Filed under: Oryza rufipogon (brownbeard rice)
Lineage: Eukaryota; Viridiplantae; Streptophyta; Magnoliopsida; Poales; Poaceae
Description: MIR812 microRNA precursor family
Rfam family: MIR812 microRNA precursor family
Source: Rfam by way of RNAcentral
AAAGACUCAAUUUAUAGGUUUUCGUGUCUAACGUUUGACCGUCCGUCUUAUUUGAAAAUAUUAUAAAAAAAAUUAAAAAGAUAAAUCACACAUAAAAUAUUAUUCAUGAUUUAUCAUCUAAUAACAAUGAAAAUACUAAUUAUAAAAAAAUUUCAUAUAAGACGGACAGUCAAACGUUAAACACAAAAACUCAGG